This 484-nucleotide ribosomal RNA is filed under the name uncultured bacterium. RNAcentral's name for it is "bacterial SSU rRNA". It matches the Rfam family "Bacterial small subunit ribosomal RNA", at positions 36 to 518 of the family's 1533-position model. The record is from RNAcentral.
CUGGCGGCGUGCUUAACACAUGCAAGUCGAACGAAGCACUCUGAUCGGAGAUCGUCGAAGAUUGGAUUUGACUUAGUGGCGGACGGGUGAGUAAUGUAUGAGCAACCUGCCUUCAGAGGGGGACAACAGUUGGAAACGACUGCUAAUACCGCAUAAUGUAUUGAGACGGCAUCGUCAUGAUACCAAAGGAGCAAUCCGCUGAAAGAUGGGCUCAUAUCUGAUUAGUUAGUUGGCAGGGUAACGGCCUACCAAGACUGCGAUCAGUAGCCGGACUGAGAGGUUGAACGGCCACAUUGGGACUGAGAUACGGCCCAGACUCCUACGGGAGGCAGCAGUGGGGAAUAUUGGGCAAUGGGCGAAAGCCUGACCCAGCAACGCCGCGUGAAGGAAGAAGGUCUUCGGAUUGUAAACUUCUUUUAUGAGGGACGAAGGACGUGACGGUACCUCAUGAAUAAGCCACGGCUAACUACGUGCCAGCCGCCGC